RNAcentral lists this unclassified non-coding RNA (419 nucleotides) under fungal sp. RNAcentral's name for it is "partial internal transcribed spacer region". The stretch from base 1 to 46 matches the Rfam family "Eukaryotic small subunit ribosomal RNA", at positions 1786 to 1831 of the family's 1831-position model. Lineage: Eukaryota; Fungi. The record is from RNAcentral.
AAGUCGUAACAAGGUCUCCGUAGGUGAACCUGCGGAGGGAUCAUUAACACGUUUUCUUAAAACGUUUUCCAACCAACCCGUGAACUUUUUAACUAGAACCCCGACCUGAGAGUUGAGAGAAUCCUGCUUUUCUGUACUUAGUGAUGAGUGUUUAGGCUUGCCUAAAUACGAGUACAUUCAAGCUGGGAGAGCAGUUUAUUACCUAUGCUUGCAUACAAUGGCUGACUUUCCAAGGGCUCUCUUCUUUCGGGCUAAUACUUCUCCAUUACUCUCCCUUCAUUCACUGGAGGUAAUGGGAAAACAAACCACUUUCACCCCUUUAUAACCACUUGACUGAUACGUUUUAAUAUGUAACAGUAUUAAGACCAAUAUAAUCAAAUAUCUAAGCACAACUCUUAGCAACGGAUAUCUUGGUUCUC